This 392-nucleotide ribosomal RNA is filed under the name uncultured eukaryote. RNAcentral describes it as "partial 18S ribosomal RNA". It matches the Rfam family "Eukaryotic small subunit ribosomal RNA", at positions 592 to 976 of the family's 1831-position model. The record is from RNAcentral.
CAAUAGCGUAUACUAAAGUUGUUGCGAUUAAAAAGCUCGUAGUUGGAUCUCAGGCAUGGGCGCACGGUCCGCCUCGCGGCGGUCACUGUGUGUUUUGUUUCCCAUCCUACGCUUCCCGGUUAUCAGCCCAUGGUGCUCUUCACUGAGCGUUUUGGGUGGCCGGAACGUUUACUUUGAAGAAAUUAGAGUGUUCAAAGCAGGCACGUCGCCUGAAUAAUGGUGCAUGGAAUAAUGGAAUAGGACCUCGGUUCUAUUCUGCUGGUUUUCGGAACACGAGGUAAUGAUUAAGAGGGACAGACGGGGGCAUCCGUAUUGCGGUGUUAGAGGUGAAAUUCUUGGAUCAUCGCAAGACGAACAACUGCGAAAGCAUUUGCCAAGCAUGUUUUCAUUAG